UCAAAGCCCCAAAGAAAGAGGCUUCUGUCUGAAUUCUUAAUGGUUUUUACGCACCUUUAAAAGCUAAUCCUGAUUUUAUCUGUAAAUUCCAAGAUUUGAUAAGGUUAUUGCAUAUGAUAAUGUGAUUGUACAAAAAAUAUUUAAAUGUUGUGGUGUCGUCCCUUUGUACCAGAUAUCCAGAUUGGUGGUGUUUGCCCUGGUCAUCGUGCUACAAGCAUGGAUGAGCACAGCAGACCCUCCGCCCCCCAUGGCCGAAGCCCCACUGAACUUGGAGCAUGUAAAGGAGGCGUACAGUGAAUUAAAGGAAAGGAUUGUGAGUACAGGCAGUGUGGUGGCUGAUUUGGCCAGCAUGUACUAUGAGGAUCAUGUGAAGACCAUAACUGACCCCUACAUCCAGUGGGCUAAAGACAAAACCAGCUCUCUUUGGAACAGAGUCAAAGACCGAGUGUCCAGCUACACAUCCACCUAAAACCUACUAGAAAAAACACCAAAGAAACAACCCAGGAUUUCAGACUUCAAACUUAACACAAAAUCAAACUUAAAAAGAAACCAUUUAUUAACACCAGAAGUGCAUGUAUACAUCAGCUUCCCUUUUCAAUUGUCCUGCUUGGUCACUGUUUGUAGGUGCUCUUGUUGGUAAAAUCACGUCUUAUCUCCAUAUCUUCUUGCAUACUGUGCAUUUUUCCCCCAGUGAUGUAGGCCACUGAUUUUGACUUA
Molecule: non-coding RNA, 717 nt
Organism: Electrophorus electricus (electric eel)
Lineage: Eukaryota; Metazoa; Chordata; Actinopteri; Gymnotiformes; Gymnotidae
Source: RefSeq, a predicted model, not a curated record